UGCAUUUUGGUGUAUGGUGCACGAGAGUUUUUGAUAUUUUAGGUGAUAGUUUAAUUCUAUUGGAUGUAA
Molecule: transfer RNA, 69 nt
Filed under: Stolotermes ruficeps
Lineage: Eukaryota; Metazoa; Arthropoda; Insecta; Blattodea; Termopsidae
Description: tRNA-Gln
Rfam family: tRNA
About the family: Transfer RNA (tRNA) molecules are approximately 80 nucleotides in length. Their secondary structure includes four short double-helical elements and three loops (D, anti-codon, and T loops).
Source: RNAcentral